GAUCGCUGUGAUGCGGGCGGUUCGCCGCCCGUGACUCUGCGAGAAGUCCAUUGAACCUUAUCAUUUAGAGGAAGGAGAAGUCGUAACAAGGUUUCCGUAGGUGAACCUGCGGAAGGAUCAUUGUCGAGACUGAAACACGAGCGAUUUUGAGAACCCGUAAAAAUAAGCGGCGGCUCUUGCUGCUGAGACAAAAUCCAGCCCGAUCAACGCCUCUUCCCCUUUUUGGGGUGGGGACGCGAUCAAGGAUGGAUGGACCCUCAAAUCGGCGCAGCGUCGCGCCAAGGCAAUAUCAAAACACAAGCCUUAAAAUGGGUUUCGUGGGAUGGGGUGCUGUGCACGCCAUAUCGAUUGACACGACUCUCGGCAAUGGAUAUCUCGGCUCUCGCAUCGAUGAAGAGCGCAGCGAAAUGCGAUACGUGGUGCGAAUUGCAGAAUCCCGCGAACCAUCGAGUCUUUGAACGCAAGUUGCGCCCGAGGCCAACCGGCCAAGGGCACGCCUGCCUGGGUGUCAAGCAUUUUGUCGCUCCGUGUCUAGUCUCCCAUCGUUGGAUGUGCUGGCGAAGGCUCGGAUGUGCACGGUGGCCCGUCGUGCCCCUCGGUGCGGCGGGCUGAAGGGUCGAUUGUCUUCUCGUUGGCUGCGGACAAUAGAGGGUGGAUUAAAAUGAAGGCCUAUGCUAUUGUGUCGAGCAUGCUGGAGAGAUGAUUGUACAUAUUUAGGCGAUCCCAAUUCAUGCGUCAAUCCAUGGAUGGCGUUUGGAAUGCGACCCCAGGAUGGGCGAGGCCACCCGCCGAGUUUAAGCAUAUCAAUAAGCGGAGGAGAAGAAACUUACGAGGAUUCCCCUA
Molecule: ribosomal RNA, 843 nt
Filed under: Dendrobium transparens
Lineage: Eukaryota; Viridiplantae; Streptophyta; Magnoliopsida; Asparagales; Orchidaceae
Description: eukaryotic LSU rRNA
Rfam family: 5.8S ribosomal RNA (bases 356-511)
Source: RNAcentral